Athene cunicularia (burrowing owl) is the source of this 126-nucleotide long non-coding RNA. RefSeq lists it as uncharacterized. The transcript has 3 exons. NCBI's taxonomy places the organism in Eukaryota, Metazoa, Chordata, Aves, Strigiformes, Strigidae. The record is from RefSeq and is a predicted model, not a curated record.
GGGCAAGAGAUAUUGGUACUGGCUGUCUCUCUGGCUCAGCUGCUGUGUUGGUGGAGGCGACUGGUAUUGGCUCUGCCUGUUUCUCUGGCCCAGCUGCUGGGCCAGUAGUUCAUUCUCAGAUCCUGC